RNAcentral lists this ribosomal RNA (470 nucleotides) under Streptococcus mutans. RNAcentral describes it as "bacterial SSU rRNA". It matches the Rfam family "Bacterial small subunit ribosomal RNA", at positions 28 to 473 of the family's 1533-position model. The record is from RNAcentral. Lineage: Bacteria; Bacillati; Bacillota; Bacilli; Lactobacillales; Streptococcaceae.
GACGAACGCUGGCGGCGUGCCUAAUACAUGCAAGUGGGACGCAAGGAAACACACUGUGCUUGCACACCGUGUUUUCUUGAGUCGCGAACGGGUGAGUAACGCGUAGGUAACCUGCCUAUUAGCGGGGGAUAACUAUUGGAAACAUAGCUAAUACCGCAUAAUAUUAAUUAUUGCAUGAUAAUUGAUUGAAAGAUGCAAGCGCAUCACUAGUAGAUGGACCUGCGUUGUAUUAGCUAGUUGGUAAGGUAAGAGCUUACCAAGGCGACGAUACAUAGCCGACCUGAGAGGGUGAUCGGCCACACUGGGACUGAGACACGGCCCAGACUCCUACGGGAGGCAGCAGUAGGGAAUCUUCGGCAAUGGACGAAAGUCUGACCGAGCAACGCCGCGUGAGUGAAGAAGGUUUUCGGAUCGUAAAGCUCUGUUGUAAGUCAAGAACGUGUGUGAGAGUGGAAAGUUCACACAGUGAC